Molecule: ribosomal RNA, 497 nt
Filed under: uncultured bacterium
Lineage: Bacteria
Description: partial 16S ribosomal RNA
Rfam family: Bacterial small subunit ribosomal RNA
Source: RNAcentral
GAUGAACGCUGGCGGCGUGCCUAAUACAUGCAAGUCGAGCGAACAGAUGAGGAGCUUGCUCCUCUGACGUUAGCGGCGGACGGGUGAGCAACACGUGGAUAACCUACCUAUAAGACUGGGAUAACUUCGGGAAACCGGAGCUAAUACCGGAUAAUAUAUUGAACCGCAUGGUUCAAUAGUGAAAGACGGUUUUGCUGUCACUUAUAGAUGGAUCCGCGCCGCAUUAGCUAGUUGGUAAGGUAACGGCUUACCAAGGCAACGAUGCGUAGCCGACCUGAGAGGGUGAUCGGCCACACUGGAACUGAGACACGGUCCAGACCCCUACGGGAGGCAGCAGUAGGGAAUCUUCCGCAAUGGGCGAAAGCCUGACGGAGCAACGCCGCGUGAGUGAUGAAGGUCUUCGGAUCGUAAAACUCUGUUAUUAGGGAAGAACAAAUGUGUAAGUAACUAUGCACGUCUUGACGGUACCUAAUCAGAAAGCCACGGCUAACUACGUG